GUGGGGAAUUUUGGACAAUGGGCGAAAGCCUGAUCCAGCCAUGCCUCGUGCAGGAUGAAGGCCUUCGGGUUGUAAACUGCUUUUGUACGGAACGAAAAGACUCCUUCUAAUAAAGGGGGUCCAUGACGGUACCGUAAGAAUAAGCACCGGCUAACUACGUGCCAGCAGCCGCGGUAAUACGUAGGGUGCAAGCGUUAAUCGGAAUUACUGGGCGUAAAGCGUGCGCAGGCGGUUAUAUAAGACAGAUGUGAAAUCCCCGGGCUCAACCUGGGAACUGCAUUUGUGACUGUAUAGCUAGAGUACGGUAGAGGGGGAUGGAAUUCCGCGUGUAGCAGUGAAAUGCGUAGAUAUGCGGAGGAACACCGAUGGCGAAGGCAAUCCCCUGGACCUGUACUGACGCUCAUGCACGAAAGCGUGGGGAGCAAACAGGAUUAGAUACCCUUGUAGUCC
Molecule: ribosomal RNA, 450 nt
Filed under: uncultured bacterium
Lineage: Bacteria
Description: partial 16S ribosomal RNA
Rfam family: Bacterial small subunit ribosomal RNA
Source: RNAcentral